This 74-nucleotide transfer RNA is filed under the name Camelus bactrianus (Bactrian camel). It matches the Rfam family "tRNA". Rfam says of the family: Transfer RNA (tRNA) molecules are approximately 80 nucleotides in length. Their secondary structure includes four short double-helical elements and three loops (D, anti-codon, and T loops). Further hydrogen bonds mediate the characteristic L-shaped molecular structure. tRNAs have two regions of fundamental functional importance: the anti-codon, which is responsible for specific mRNA codon recognition, and the 3' end, to which the tRNAs corresponding amino acid is attached (by aminoacyl-tRNA synthetases). tRNAs cope with the degeneracy of the genetic code in two manners: having more than one tRNA (with a specific anti-codon) for a particular amino acid; and 'wobble' base-pairing, i.e. permitting non-standard base-pairing at the 3rd anti-codon position. The record is from Rfam by way of RNAcentral. RNAcentral also lists the same sequence under 2 other names. Lineage: Eukaryota; Metazoa; Chordata; Mammalia; Artiodactyla; Camelidae.
GAAGGUAUAGCUCAAGUGGUAGAGCACAUGCUUAGCAUGCACAAGGUCCUGGGUUCUAAUCCCCAGUCCCUCCU